This is a long non-coding RNA of Eucalyptus grandis, 1239 nucleotides long. RefSeq lists it as uncharacterized. The transcript is spliced from 3 exons. NCBI's taxonomy places the organism in Eukaryota, Viridiplantae, Streptophyta, Magnoliopsida, Myrtales, Myrtaceae. The record is from RefSeq and is a predicted model, not a curated record.
AUUCAUCUGUAAAAGACAGUUCAAUCUUCAGUGUUCGUGGAUGCACAGUGGAAUUCUUUUGAAGGAGUGAUAUUCUUAAGCUCAUAAAUACUAGGCACAAACAAGAAAGACAGCAACCAAACUUUAUCCUACUAAGUCGGCUAAAUGAACCUCUUAUGGUAUUUCACUAUGUCUGCAGCGACAUAGCAUACACAACUUCAAAAUUUUCAUUGUCACCCAAUUCUUGUUUACAAAUUCUGAGGUAGCAUAGCAUAAAACAGAAAAAAAGGACAGUCGUAUAUGUUGGCACCAAGGAUGCAUAGCCAGCGGAAACUCUACUGUGGGGAGGAGGCUACUCAGUCCAGAGGAUGCAAUUUUAUUUGGUUUCAGUUGAUUUAUGAAGACAUUGCAUUCGUUGUAGUAACUAUCUUGGUGGAGUGAUUUAUAUGUUUCUCUACAGAAGCAUAUCCUGAUGAAAUACCUCAAAAAAUUUAGCAUUUUCAAUCUGGGAGGAAAAUCUACAGCACUGACAAUUGCAUUCAUCUGACUGCCAAUCAAGUCAUUUGUGGUGAAAUCUCCACCGCUGCUGGAAAUCAGCUGGUAAUUAGAAGACCAAGGUCUGUGAACCCCGUUGGCACCACUGCUUGAGGCUCCUUCAACUGAUGGAUCAAAAGCAUAAGCGUCGAGUCCCAGCAAACUCAUUAUUGGUCCACUAUUCCAAUCAUUUUGAUCCAUAUCGAAGAUAGGCGUUGAUUGUCCAGCAAUCCGAUUGAUCAGCUGGUUUGUCCGGGCUAAAUCUACGUCAUACCUGAGGUAGCUCUGAAUCUCCUCCGCUGGUGCUCUAAAGUUGAGAUUUUGGACUGACCCACCAUUACAGUGAGGCAGCUCCUGCAUAUAACCUUGGCCAUGGGGCAGGCCAGUAAAUACAGGGUAAUUCGUUCUGCCCUGCAGGCUCUCGAUUUGAUCAAUCGGAGUCACACGGGAUCUUACUGGGAUUGGUCUCUGUGGGGUGUGUACUUCCCAAUUGCCAAUCUCAAAGUCCCCUCCUUGCGGCAUUGGGAACUCACCGCCCAAAUUCCACCCGGAGUUCAUCUGGCCUUCUCGUUAUUCAAUCCCUUGUACAAUUCCUUUUCCAGUUGGCUGGAAAUCUCAAAUAUCUUUAUUUUCUACUGGUGGCCAAAUGCGGCUACCAAAAGGGGAAAAAAAAGAAAAGAAAAGAAAAAUGCAAAUUCCCCAGAAUCCUAGUGUUUUGCUCUAAAA